Molecule: ribosomal RNA, 460 nt
Filed under: uncultured bacterium
Lineage: Bacteria
Description: partial 16S ribosomal RNA
Rfam family: Bacterial small subunit ribosomal RNA
Source: RNAcentral
CCUACGGGCGGCAGCAGUGAGGAAUAUUGGUCAAUGGACGAGAGUCUGAACUAGCCAAGUAGCGUGAAGGAUGACUGCCCUAUGGGUUGUAAACUUCUUUUAUAUGGGAAUAAAAUGUUCCACGUGUGGGAUUUUGUAUGUACCAUAUGAAUAAGGAUCGGCUAACUCCGUGCCAGCAGCCGCGGUAAUACGGAGGAUCCGAGCGUUAUCCGGAUUUAUUGGGUUUAAAGGGAGCGUAGGUGGAUUGUUAAGUCAGUUGUGAAAGUUUGCGGCUCAACCGUAAAAUUGCAGUUGAAACUGGCAGUCUUGAGUACAGUAGAGGUGGGCGGAAUUCGUGGUGUAGCGGUGAAAUGCUUAGAUAUCACGAAGAACUCCGAUUGCGAAGGCAGUUCACUGGACUGCAACUGACACUGAGGCUCGAAAGUGUGGGUAUCAAACAGGAUUAGAUACCCGGGUAGUC